This 29-nucleotide non-coding RNA is filed under the name Mus musculus (house mouse). The record is from RNAcentral. Lineage: Eukaryota; Metazoa; Chordata; Mammalia; Rodentia; Muridae.
UGCUAUGUCCUGCUCUAGGUUUGAUUGCA